AAGGGUAUAGCUCAGGGGCAGAGUGCCUGCUUAGCAUGCAUGAGGUCCCGGGUUCAACCCCCAGUACCUCCG
This 72-nucleotide transfer RNA is filed under the name Camelus bactrianus (Bactrian camel). It matches the Rfam family "tRNA". Rfam says of the family: Transfer RNA (tRNA) molecules are approximately 80 nucleotides in length. Lineage: Eukaryota; Metazoa; Chordata; Mammalia; Artiodactyla; Camelidae. RNAcentral also lists the same sequence under 2 other names. The record is from Rfam by way of RNAcentral.